Molecule: long non-coding RNA, 214 nt
Organism: Strongylocentrotus purpuratus (purple sea urchin)
Lineage: Eukaryota; Metazoa; Echinodermata; Echinoidea; Camarodonta; Strongylocentrotidae
Exons: 2
Source: RefSeq, a predicted model, not a curated record
CGCCUUGUACUGAAGAUGAGUUUGCAUGUGACAAUGGUCAGUGUAUACCAGUUGGCAAGAGAUGUGAUUUCAUCAGCCAUUGUUACGAUGCAUCAGAUGAAGAUGGAUGUGUGUUGGAGCUUUUUCAUUCUGCCUUCCAGUGCUACGACGGUUCGCUUUUUCCAAGGCAGGUUCAUUGUGAUGGUGUGAUCGACUGCAUAGGAAAUACGAACGA